Molecule: ribosomal RNA, 254 nt
Filed under: uncultured bacterium
Lineage: Bacteria
Description: partial 16S ribosomal RNA
Rfam family: Bacterial small subunit ribosomal RNA
Source: RNAcentral
UACGGAGGGUGCAAGCGUUGCUCGGAAUUAUUGGGCGUAAAGGGUAGGUAGGUGGUCUCAUUUGUCUGGGGUGAAAGCCUUGAGCUUAACUCAAGAAGUGCCCCCAGAAACGGUGAGACUAGAGUCUUGGAGAGGGUCGUGGAAUUCCCGGUGUAGCGGUGAAAUGCGUAGAGAUCGGGAGGAACACCAGAGGCGAAAGCGGCGACCUGGACAAGCACUGACACUCAACUACGAAAGCGUGGGGAGCAAACAGG